Molecule: long non-coding RNA, 1000 nt
Filed under: Equus asinus (donkey)
Lineage: Eukaryota; Metazoa; Chordata; Mammalia; Perissodactyla; Equidae
Description: lncRNA (ENSEASG00005031607.1)
Source: RNAcentral
GAGCCGCUCCCUGUGGCUCAGAACAGCCGUCGCGUCCCUGGCCAGGUUAAACGCACAACACCUCCAGGCGGUUGGAGUAGAAAAACCGAACCGCGGAGAGACCCAGCUCGCUGGCGGCCCUUGGGAACUUUGGGACGCUACACUUGGCAGCCUUCAAAACCUUCUUGCCCUCCAAAGCCUUUGAGGAAACUGUUAGUGAUAAUCACAUGGACCUGGAAGAAACUGCUAGUUUUUCGUCGUGGUUCCUUCGAGAAUGGCUGGAGCCCUUUCGUGACCCACAGAAUUUUCGUCAGUGGCCCAACUGCGGGUCUAUGCCUGAGCUGGGUCUCCACAGCCGCUAGCUGAAGGAAGGUGGUGGUUUUGGGCGGGGGGUUGACUGGGGCGAGAGGUUUCGCGGAGGGUGGUGGGUGGCAGAAUUCCUGGAAGGCACGGGGAGAGGCAGGGCCGCCUGGGCUGUGGCCCCAAGGCAUGGGCCUCCUCUGCCCACGUACGUCUAGAGGAGGCACCGGUCCCAGGGUCAAGAGACUUUCGGUUGACUCAGCCAUCACUUGGAGCACGACUGGGGAUCUUCGUCGCCCCGCCUCACCGGAUUUCACCCUUCUCGCCGCCCAUCUGACCCCAUGCCCACCCACUGCGGUCCCGAUUGCGGUCCACAGAGGUGCUCCGGCGUGCGCGCCUCUCGCCAACCGGGGAUCCUGCAGAAGGGAGGGAGGGAAGGAAGAAAGCGUGGUGUGAAGCAAGCCAUCUUCAGUCUGUGUCAAAAUGACCUUGCAACCCCACACUGCAUGACCGAAGACGCUAGCCGGACAGGUCCUCAAUAGGAAAAGGUAAAGCAGUACCUUGCUUUCACAUUUCACAGUUGCGUUUAUUAGAGAUUAGGGGCAUAAUUUAACGAUGUGCCACGGUCCUUGCCUCCCUCCGCACAUGGAUAACGUCAGGGUCUCUGAAAUUGUUUGAUAUAUAACCAAGAAAUUCUUGCUUCUGUUACAUUCAAUGUACA